RNAcentral lists this small RNA (582 nucleotides) under Pongo abelii (Sumatran orangutan). Its description in RNAcentral is "processed transcript". The record is from RNAcentral. Lineage: Eukaryota; Metazoa; Chordata; Mammalia; Primates; Hominidae.
AUUUACAAAAUCCAGAUGGAUUAUGUCUCAACAGAAGCUGUUGGCCGGGGUUCCCAGAGUCACUAGGAUAAAGCUGGCAGCUUCGCUUUUUCUAAAGGGUCCUUCCUCCUGGCUCUCCGGGUCACCAGUCUCUUCAGAAGAUCAUGGACCUUCCGAGUUAUUGGAUAUGGCAGACAGUGAAACGGGUGAGACUGCACUGCACAAGGCUGCCUGCCAGCGGAACCGGGCUGUGUGCCAGCUUCUGGUGGAUGCAGGAGCAUCUCUGAGAAAGACGGACUCCAAGGGUAAGACACCUCAAGAAAGAGCACAGCAGGCUGGGGACCCAGACUUGGCUGCUUACCUAGAAAGCCGUCAGAACUAUAAGGUCAUUGGCCAUGAGGACCUGGAAACUGCUGUUUGACCCUGGUAUUCGGGCAAAGAGAAUGUGAGCAAGCGUAUCACAUCUGCCCUCCCUGUGAUUGGGCAGCUCCCGUGGAAGAAGCUGAUGGAAUUCAUAUAUCUGUCUCUCUCCUGCAAGAAUCUACCUGAGACCAUGCCACUAGCUUUUAAGGGCUACCAAGAUGUACAACAGAACAUGAUAGC